This 406-nucleotide ribosomal RNA is filed under the name uncultured bacterium. RNAcentral describes it as "partial 16S ribosomal RNA". It matches the Rfam family "Bacterial small subunit ribosomal RNA", at positions 30 to 526 of the family's 1533-position model. The record is from RNAcentral.
AUUGAACGCUGGCGGCAGGCCUAACACAUGCAAGUCGAGCGAGCGGCGGACGGGUGAGUAAUGUCUGGGGAACUGCCCGAUGGAGGGGGAUAACUACUGGAAACGGUAGCUAAUACCGCAUACUAUCGGAUGUGCCCAGAUGGGAUUAGCUAGUAGGUGGGGUAAAGGCUCACCUAGGCGACGAUCCCUAGCUGGUCUGAGAGGAUGACCAGCCACACUGGAACUGAGACACGGCCCAGACUCCUACGGGAGGCAGCAGUGGGGAAUAUUGCACAAUGGGCGCAAGCCUGAUGCAGCCAUGCCGCGUGUGUGAAGAAGGCCUUAGGGUUGUAAAGCACUUUCAGCGGGGAGGCGUUACUCGCAGAAGAAGCACCGGCUAACUCCGUGCCAGCAGCCGCGGUAAUUC